Molecule: ribosomal RNA, 510 nt
Filed under: uncultured Glomeromycotina
Lineage: Eukaryota; Fungi; Glomeromycota
Description: SSU rRNA
Rfam family: Eukaryotic small subunit ribosomal RNA
Source: RNAcentral
AGCAGCCGCGGUAAUUCCAGCUCCAAUAGCGUAUAUUAAAGUUGUUGCAGUUAAAAAGCUCGUAGUUGAACUUCGGGGUUCACCCAUUGGUCAGGCUUAAUUGUCUGUACUGGUGAGAUGAAUCUCUACCUUCUGAGGAACUUUCAUGUCAUUAAUUUGAUGUGAUUGGAAAUCAGGACUGUUACUUUGAAAAAUUAGAGUGUUUAAAGCAGGCUAACGUCUGAAUACAUUAGCAUGGAAUAAUGAAAUAGGACGGACUGAUUCUAUUUCGUUGGUUUCUAGGAUCACCGUAAUGAUUAAUAGGGAUAGUUGGGGGCAUCAGUAUUCAAUUGUCAGAGGUGAAAUUCUUGGAUUUAUUGAAGACUAACUACUGCGAAAGCAUUUGCCAAGGAUGUUUUCAUUAAUCAAGAACGAAAGUUAGGGGAUCGAAGACGAUCAGAUACCGUCGUAGUCUUAACCAUAAACUAUGCCGACUAGGGAUCGGACGAAGUAAUUUAUAAUGACGCGUUC